UACGGAGGGUGCGAGCGUUGUCCGGAAUCAUUGGGCGUAAAGGGCGCGUAGGUGGCGGCUUAAGCGUGCGGUGAAAGCUCGGGGCUCAACCCCGAGUCGGCCGUGCGAACUGAGUCGCUUGAGCACUGUAGAGGCAGGCGGAAUUCCGGGUGUAGAGGUGAAAUUCGUAGAUAUUCGGAAGAACACCAGUGGCGAAGGCGACACACUGGCCCGUUACUGACGCUGAGGCGCGAAAGCGUGGGGAGCAAACAGG
This 253-nucleotide ribosomal RNA is filed under the name uncultured bacterium. RNAcentral's name for it is "partial 16S ribosomal RNA". It matches the Rfam family "Bacterial small subunit ribosomal RNA", at positions 524 to 776 of the family's 1533-position model. The record is from RNAcentral.